This 304-nucleotide small nuclear RNA is filed under the name Erinaceus europaeus (western European hedgehog). RNAcentral describes it as "7SK RNA". It matches the Rfam family "7SK RNA". Rfam says of the family: 7SK was discovered as an abundant small nuclear RNA in the mid-70s but a possible function has only recently been suggested. Two independent studies have found that 7SK RNA binds the CDK9/cyclin T complex (known as elongation factor P-TEFb). Lineage: Eukaryota; Metazoa; Chordata; Mammalia; Eulipotyphla; Erinaceidae. The record is from Rfam by way of RNAcentral.
GGAUGUGAGUGCAAUCUGACUGCAACAUCUGGUUACCCCAUUGAUCACUAGGAUUGAUUUGGCUGAUCUGGCUGGCUAGGUGGGUGUCCCCUUCCUCACCGCCCCACAUGUGUCACUCCCUAAAUUGCACCUUCAGUCAAAGAAGAUGGCCUUCCUCAAAUAGAGAUGGACCAGUCUUCAGUCCGGAGUAUAUGAGUAGCUGUGCUCCCCUGCUAGAAGCUCCAAACAAUUUCUCAAAGAGAAUGGGUAUGACUUAGCACUACCAAAUUUGAAUAAAUGUUUAUACGUAUAGCCACAUUAAAUU